GGAUGGGUCGGAAAGCUGGGCUGUACAUAAACUCAAAGAAGUUUGGCGGCGUCGUUAAGCCGUGCAUGCUGGAGAUGACGGCCUUCCUCAACUGCCUCGCCUUGAACAAGCAGAUCGAUCAAAGUAAUUCCAUAUCUAGCGAUGAUUAUCUCAGCACCAAUUGGCAGUGAGAGGCAGAAGGGGAAUGCUGACACCGCGUUCCAUGCUCCUUCAGACAUGGAGUCCAGGCGCGCAUGGCUCCGUCGCCCCGCGCGCUCCAUUGGAGGAGCCCCCGCCCCGCGCGUGGCCGCCUUGGAGUUGGAGCGCUCCGGCCCCACGCCCUUGUCUGCUCUGGCGGCGGGUUCCUCCUGGCCGCGAUGAUGCCCGAGGCCGGCCGCUACACCCACAAGAAGGAUGAUGGCAUUUGCAACAGUGAGCUGCAGGGUUUUGCUUGCUCGCUUGCUUACUUUGCUGCCUGUCUGUAACCUGGUCGAUUUUGUUUUCUGCUACCAUUCUCAGUGUCAUGAAAAUGGAGAUGCAUGUCUAACUGCUUCACAUGCUUAAUCUAAUUUAAUGUGUAAAAUGGCAGGCAAAUGCUGCUGCAAAGAUAUUAGUGGUAUAUGUGCAUGCAUUUGACAAUAUGAUUUCACAUGUGUGUUUGAACAUUAACCAUACAGAUUAUGGUACUGUUAAUUUGGUGCA
Aegilops tauschii subsp. strangulata is the source of this 681-nucleotide long non-coding RNA. RefSeq lists it as uncharacterized. NCBI's taxonomy places the organism in Eukaryota, Viridiplantae, Streptophyta, Magnoliopsida, Poales, Poaceae. The record is from RefSeq and is a predicted model, not a curated record.